GUGCUCGCUUUGGCAGCACAUACACUAAAAUUGGAAUGAUACAGAGAAGAUUAGCAUGGCCCCCAUACAAGGUUGACACGCAAAUUUGUGAAGUGUUCCAUAUUUUU
This 107-nucleotide small nuclear RNA is filed under the name Bison bison bison. The record is from RNAcentral. Lineage: Eukaryota; Metazoa; Chordata; Mammalia; Artiodactyla; Bovidae.